GCCGACGUAGCUCAGUUGGUAGAGCGGCUGAUUCGUAAUCAGCAGGUCUCCGGUUCGAACCCGGACGUCGGCUCCA
RNAcentral lists this transfer RNA (76 nucleotides) under Acidobacteriota bacterium. Its description in RNAcentral is "Acidobacteria bacterium tRNA-Thr". It matches the Rfam family "tRNA". Rfam says of the family: Transfer RNA (tRNA) molecules are approximately 80 nucleotides in length. Their secondary structure includes four short double-helical elements and three loops (D, anti-codon, and T loops). Lineage: Bacteria; Pseudomonadati; Acidobacteriota. The record is from RNAcentral.